RNAcentral lists this ribosomal RNA (250 nucleotides) under uncultured bacterium. RNAcentral describes it as "partial 16S ribosomal RNA". It matches the Rfam family "Bacterial small subunit ribosomal RNA", at positions 527 to 776 of the family's 1533-position model. The record is from RNAcentral.
GAACCGUGCGAACGUUGUUCGGAAUCACUGGGCUUAAAGGGCGCGUAGGCGGAUCAUCAAGUCCGGGGUGAAAUCUUUCGGCUUAACCGGAAAAGUGCCUUGGAUACUGGUGGUCUCGAGUGAGGUAGGGGCAUGUGGAACUUCUGGUGGAGCGGUGAAAUGCGUUGAUAUCAGAAGGAACUCCGGUGGCGAAAGCGACGUGCUGGACCUCUUCUGACGCUGAGGCGCGAAAGCUAGGGGAGCAAACGGG